Molecule: long non-coding RNA, 382 nt
Filed under: Gallus gallus (chicken)
Lineage: Eukaryota; Metazoa; Chordata; Aves; Galliformes; Phasianidae
Source: RNAcentral
CUUGCUGCCGGCAGAGGAGUGGGUGUGCUUUCCAAGCCGGGCGCCUUCAUCAAAUGACAUCCAGAAUAAGAUGCUGUAUCACCUUCCCAGGACUGGAGAUGAGGCUGACAAACCUGUAGCUUCCUGGCUCCUCCUCCUUGCCCUUUUUGAAGACUGGAGUGGCAUUGGCUUUCCUUCAGUUAUUAGGCACCAUUCCUGUUUUCCAUGACCUUUCAAAGAUGAUAGGGAGUGCGCCAUGAUCUUCCCCAGACCAGAGGUGAGACUAACAGAUUCAUCAGAUGAUGACAGUAAGAAUUCACAACACUGGAAGGACAUUCAUCCUUGAGUCACAAAAUCUACUUAGAAUAAUGAUCUCAUGACACUGUAUGUUGGCAUGGAUUCA